UAUAUAGUCGGACUAACGAGCUAACAGGGGGGGACCGUUCGGGCACUCUUGCCAUCAGAUGUGUCCCGACGGACUGUGGAUUAGCUAGUAGGUGGGGUAACGGCACCUAGGCGACGAUCCCUAGGCGUGGUCUGAGAGGUAUGACACGCCACACGUGGUNACUGAGACACGGUCCAGACUCCUACGGGAGGCAGCAGUGGGGAAUAUUGCAGCAAUGGGCGCAAGGCUGAUGCAGCCAUGCCGCGUGUAUGAAGAAGGCCUUCUGGGUUUGGUGAAAGUUAGUCUUUUCAGACGGCCGGGAGGAAAAGUCGUCUCGUUGGUGUUAAUAAGCCGANNCUGGCAUAUUGGAUCGGUUUACCCCCGUCAAGAAAUAAGGCAUCAGGCUUAAUCCCGUGCCACAGGCCUGCGGGUUAAUACGNGACGGGGGUGGGUAAGCCGCUUGAAAUCCGGGAAAGUGUACCUUGGGAGGCGGUUAAAACGGUUGCCACGCGCCAAGGCCUGGGUUCCUUGGUUCCCAAUUGCGUGGAAUGGUUUCGUAAUAUUCCCCUGGGGUCCCAAAACAUNUGGGGGACCUUGGGAUUUCCUGAGAAACUUUGCGUA
Molecule: ribosomal RNA, 600 nt
Filed under: uncultured bacterium
Lineage: Bacteria
Description: partial 16S ribosomal RNA
Rfam family: Bacterial small subunit ribosomal RNA (bases 1-437)
Source: RNAcentral